This 247-nucleotide long non-coding RNA is filed under the name Elaeis guineensis (African oil palm). Its description in RNAcentral is "long non-coding RNA (EGUI_LNC077768)". The record is from RNAcentral. Lineage: Eukaryota; Viridiplantae; Streptophyta; Magnoliopsida; Arecales; Arecaceae.
CAGGUAGACUUCGGCCGAGCUUCUUCGUAGCCGGAUCCCAGACGAGCUUCUACCAUGGGGCGGGAUCCAUCGGCCAGGUUGUUACUCUGAGCUCCCACGACAAUCGAUCUUCGAUCGAGCUCCAACAAUAAGCGGCCUCCUUUCGGCCUACCACAAGAACCGGACUCCGUCCGAGCUUCCACAGCGGAUGGAUUCCAGACGAGCUUUUGUAAUGGACGGGCUCCAGCAACUGGAUUUCUACAACGAC